GAGUGAUGGCCAUGGCAUGGAAGAAGGUGAGACUUGCAUGAAUCGUGAAUCAAAACCUCCAUGAUUAUCACUGCAAGUCGUACCUUUUUCCUAGCCAUGAUAAUCACUG
MicroRNA precursor from Arabidopsis thaliana (thale cress), 109 nucleotides. It matches the Rfam family "MIR5020 microRNA precursor family". Lineage: Eukaryota; Viridiplantae; Streptophyta; Magnoliopsida; Brassicales; Brassicaceae. The record is from Rfam.